AUAGAAAUGCAUGACUUGAUACAACAAAUGGGUCAAGAAAUUGUUCAUCAAGAAUCCAUCAAAGAUCCUGGAAGACGAAGUCUAUUAUGGAAACAUGAUGAAGUGUAUGAAGUAUUGAAAUAUAACAAGGGAACUGAUGAUGUUGAAGGGAUAAUUUUAAAUUUGGAUACAUUAACUGAGGAUCUGUGUUUGAGCUCUGAUUUCCUUGCAAAGAUGCCUAAUGUGAGAUUUCUUAAAAUCUAUACAAAGCACUGGA
Molecule: long non-coding RNA, 256 nt
Organism: Cajanus cajan (pigeon pea)
Lineage: Eukaryota; Viridiplantae; Streptophyta; Magnoliopsida; Fabales; Fabaceae
Source: RefSeq, a predicted model, not a curated record